UCUCGACUGUAGCUCCGGUCCCUU
Molecule: microRNA, 24 nt
Filed under: Macaca fascicularis (crab-eating macaque)
Lineage: Eukaryota; Metazoa; Chordata; Mammalia; Primates; Cercopithecidae
Description: piRNA piR-mfa-897945
Source: RNAcentral